This 53-nucleotide transfer RNA is filed under the name Epitrimerus sabinae. RNAcentral's name for it is "tRNA-Gln". The record is from RNAcentral. Lineage: Eukaryota; Metazoa; Arthropoda; Arachnida; Trombidiformes; Eriophyidae.
UGCAAAAUGGUGUAGGGCACGUUAGGUUUUGGGCUUAAAAGUUAUCUUUGCAA